Non-coding RNA from Myodes glareolus (Bank vole), 1660 nucleotides. The record is from RefSeq and is a predicted model, not a curated record. NCBI's taxonomy places the organism in Eukaryota, Metazoa, Chordata, Mammalia, Rodentia, Cricetidae.
UAUCACGUUUGCAUGGCAAGAACUUUGCCCACAGAACCAUCUUUCUAGUUCCUCCUGCCGCGGCUUUUCUCACAAGAAAAGGGCCAGAAGCCAAGGACUUUGCUAGUCUUUGAGAGAACAGCCAGGAGGAGAGAAUUUUUGACAACUGAAUAGGAACCAGAUAGAAGCUAUUGUCAAAAGGCUUCCUUCCUUCCUAGGAGCCGGGCUUUACUCAGUACUCAUGAGGACACCCUGGCCUGUCUCAUUCAUGGGGUAGUUUGGAGGAGGCUGAGAUCCUCGGGGAUGGACCAGAGGUGCUGCUAUCAGAAUGUGAGGUUGUGGAGCUGCCCGGAGGAGUGUAUGAAACCCAGAAACGCUUCUGAUUUGUUUGGAGCAAAGCUGUGCUUAGAAAAGGUUCUGUUGUGGUGAGAAUGAACACAAACCAUCAUAUGACCUAACCAGAAGGGCCAUCCUGAGCUGUGGAGUGAUUGAAUGCCUCCAUCCCUGUAACUCCAUAUAAUAUGGUGGCUGGAAGAGAGAGAGUCUCUUCAAUCUGUUGGCCUACAGUUCACCUUUUUCCCCUGCCUUGUACCCUGGGCCUCACAUCUGGCAGAGUCAGCAGGAUCCUGAAGAGGUGGACUGAAGCCCUGAAAUGCUGGAAACGGAACAGAUGGAGGCCAAGAAUGUUUCGACUGUGCUGAAAGCUGGCCUCGAAGGCACUUUGCUGUGAGAAGCCAAAGUGCGAGUUGAGAGCCAAGGGAAAACCUCAGUGUGUGAUUUAGAGCACUAAGUCCCUUUUAUCAAAUGGGAGGCAAUGUAGACGAAGCCCCAGGGAGUCAGUCAUUGCCUGGUUUCUGAACCCCUGGGAUAAGGGGGCGGGGAGAGAAUGUCUCGUUAACUGUGAAACAGAUGGAGAAAUUGACCUCUAUCACCACCCAUCCCUCUUUAAGGAAGUGCCUACAGGUUCCAAGGCCACAAAACUGGGGAGAACAGUUGCUAAUGAGCUGGCCGAUAGCCAGAGUAUGUCUGGUAUGGACCAAUACUGGCAAAUUGUCAGAGACUGUGAGUAAAUAAACCACCUACUUGUACUUAAUACUGAUAGUCUGAUGGUAUGACAAAACCAUGCCAAGCUCACCAAAUAGAACAGUUUCUCUUGGAGGACGUGCUCUUGAGAAGGGAGGCUGCCCUGUGUGGGAAACAAUGGGCCUCAGCAUGGGGUUCUCUUCAUGACUGAGUGCAUUCUAGGGGUGAAGCCUAGGUCCUCAGUUAGGGAGGACUCCAGAUGAUUGGAUCCUUUAAGUUGAUCUCACUAUUCAUUGACCCCCCCCCCAUCCACUAAUGUACAAAGGGGUGUUAACCCUUAUUGACAUUGGAGCUGACUGUAUUUUGGUCUGUGGGAACCUAGACUUGGGGUGUACAUGCAUGACCAAGGCCUAAUGAGGCCUUGUUGGAGGAAGUAUAUCACUGUGGGGGUGGGCUUUGAAGAUUUUUUUCUUAAACUUUCCUCAGUGUGACAGUCAGUCGACUUCCUGUUGUCUCUGAGUCAAAAUGGAGUACUCUCAGCUCAGGCACCACAUGGUAGCAUGCCUGCCUGCUACAGUGUUGCCUGUCAUGAUGAUAAUGGACUGAACCUCUGAAAACUAUAAGCCAGCCACCUCAAUUAAAUGUUUUCCUUAUAAGA